AAUAAUUUUGAGUAUGCUUCUCAGCAUAUUUCUAAUUUACUGUGAACUGUUUUACUGUUUAGCGUUUUGAGGGAUGCUUAAAGACUAUAGGGAUAGGUCUUUAGGAUGUUAACCUAGCUAAAGUCAGGCUUAGGCCUGGUAUCCUAAUUCAUUAUUUACCAAAAGAAUUCAGAAUUAAUAUUGUAACAUAAGCGUAAAAAACUUAUAAAA
RNAcentral lists this unclassified non-coding RNA (210 nucleotides) under uncultured Rhizomucor. Its description in RNAcentral is "sequence contains ITS1". The record is from RNAcentral. Lineage: Eukaryota; Fungi; Mucoromycota; Mucoromycetes; Mucorales; Mucoraceae.